RNAcentral lists this ribosomal RNA (253 nucleotides) under uncultured bacterium. RNAcentral describes it as "partial 16S ribosomal RNA". It matches the Rfam family "Bacterial small subunit ribosomal RNA", at positions 524 to 776 of the family's 1533-position model. The record is from RNAcentral.
UACAGAGGUCUCAACCGUUGUUCGGAUUCAUUGGGCGUAAAGGGUGCGUAGGCGGUCGCGCAAGUCGGAUGUGAAAUCUCAGGGCUCAACCCUGAAACUGCAUUCGAUACUGCGUGGCUAGAGUGCUGGAGAGGAGACUGGAAUUUACGGUGUAGCAGUGAAAUGCGUAGAUAUCGUAAGGAACAUCAGUGGCGAAGGCGGCUUUCUGGACCAAUACUGACGAUCAGGUGCGAAAGCGUGGGGAGCAAACAGG